UACGGAGGGAGCUAGCGUUGUUCGGAAUUACUGGGCGUAAAGCGCGCGUAGGCGGCUUUGUAAGUUAGAGGUGAAAGCCCGGAGCUCAACUCCGGAACUGCCUUUAAGACUGCAUCGCUUGAAUCCGGGAGAGGUGAGUGGAAUUCCGAGUGUAGAGGUGAAAUUCGUAGAUAUUCGCAAGAACACCAGUGGCGAAGGCGGCUCACUGGCCCGAUACUGACGCUGAGGCACGAAAGCGUGGGGAGCAAACAGG
Molecule: ribosomal RNA, 253 nt
Filed under: uncultured bacterium
Lineage: Bacteria
Description: partial 16S ribosomal RNA
Rfam family: Bacterial small subunit ribosomal RNA
Source: RNAcentral